Molecule: long non-coding RNA, 1281 nt
Organism: Tyto alba (common barn owl)
Lineage: Eukaryota; Metazoa; Chordata; Aves; Strigiformes; Tytonidae
Exons: 3
Source: RefSeq, a predicted model, not a curated record
AGAUCUUCCUCAAUUAAUCCACCAUUAGCAUGUUUGGGAUCCUCUACUGGAUGGUUAACAGCAGCUUUGGUAACUGUAUGCUGUCCAUACCCAAUUAUGCUCUGCUAAAAAUGAACUCUGCAGAACAACCUUCCUGAGCUGUCAGUGUCUCCCGUUUUCCUAUUUUAACGCUUGUGUGUAGUGGCAGGCGACAGAUGGUGUAGAUCAGAUCGAUUUGAUUGCAUUAGGCGAUUUUUUUUUUCCUCCUCUCCCCCCCGACUCCUUUUCUGGAAGCCCACAUUCAUCUGAGAGGCGAUCGCCGGGGACAUGGGAAGCAAGAGCAGCCGCCGAUGUGUGAAAGCAACGAGACAUGGCCAGCCAGAGGCGCCGGGGUCCCUUCCCGGGGUUUGUUAACAUGGUAAUCCGGCACCAGGAGAGAAAGCUGCUUUCUGCUGCCCAGAGCCCAUUCCCCAUCACACAUCAGAUGACUCCCUGGUUUUACACACAGUUGGAGUUCUGCUCGAAACCUGGAUUUAAAGGGAAUCUGUUGCUGCGUGUGACAUCUCUUGCAAGCUCCCAGAGAGAAUUGAUGGAGCAUACAGCUAGGGAAUAGGAUGCCAGAGAAGCACAGAGGAAGAAAACAGGCGAUCACCAGGAUGGGAAGGUUCGGCGUCCAUUGGAUAUGGGACGAGAUCACUCGGCAACCCCUGUGGAUUCUCCUUCUUCUAGAGGGGAAUUAUAGUUAUGGAUUUAUUGUCCCGGUGCAGCACUUCCACCACCAGCAGCAGCAACAGCAGCAGCUUUCUGACUCUCUUCGGUGACGGGUAUUCUUGGGUGGAUAAUACGGAUUACGUUGUUAUUGCUUAAGAAUACGCGUAGUCGAGGAGAGUACCGGCGGCGGGCAGGCAGGCAGGCAGCGCGACCGCCCCCAGCCCACCAGCUGGCUCCUAACCUCCUCUAGUUGCCAAGGUAGCACCUUUUCCAUCUUUUCCUACGCUUUGCAAUGUUUCACUCUGUCUGUGUCUCUGCCCGGGCGGGGGGAGCUCGGACGCCCCGUCCCCAGCGGAGGGGGCUGCCCGCGCGUGUGUGUGUGCGUGUGCGUGUGAGCUAAGCCCAGGGCUGGGGAGGGCCGGGGAAAGGCUUGCUCGGCCCCGCAGGAGCGCUCCGCGGGCGGCCCUGGCCCUGGCCCUGGCCCUGGCCCUGGCCCUGGCCCGCCGCGGGGGUGCGGGCAGGGGGUGACCGGGGGAGCCGGGGCCGCUGCGGAGUGCGCCUCCGCGGGCAGCGCUCGGCAGGCUGCGCCGG